AAUAUUGGACAAUGGGGGCAACCCUGAUCCAGCCAUGCCGCGUGUGUGAAGAAGUUCUUCGGAUUGUAAAGCACCUUAAGUUCGGAGGAAGGGCUUUAGGUUAAUACCCUUAAGUUCGUACGUUACCAUCAGACUAAGCACUGGCCAACUCUGUGCCAGCAGCCGCGGUAAUACAGAGGGUAAAAGCGUUAAUCGGAAUUACUGGGCGUAAAGCGCGCGUAGGUGGUUCAGUAAGAUGGGUGUGAAAUCCACGGGCUUAACCUGGGAACUGCUUUCAUAACUGCUGGGCUAGAGUACGGUAGAGGGUAGUGGAAUUUCCUGUGUAGCGGUGAAAGGCGUAGAUAUAGGAAGGAACACCAGUGGCGAAGGCGACUACCUGGACUGAUACUGACACUGCGGUGCGAAAGCGUGGGGAGCAAAC
Molecule: ribosomal RNA, 421 nt
Filed under: uncultured bacterium
Lineage: Bacteria
Description: partial 16S ribosomal RNA
Rfam family: Bacterial small subunit ribosomal RNA
Source: RNAcentral